This 2408-nucleotide ribosomal RNA is filed under the name Albifimbria verrucaria. RNAcentral's name for it is "eukaryotic LSU rRNA". The stretch from base 34 to 1821 matches the Rfam family "Eukaryotic small subunit ribosomal RNA". The record is from RNAcentral. Lineage: Eukaryota; Fungi; Ascomycota; Sordariomycetes; Hypocreales; Stachybotryaceae.
GGCCAGUGAAUUAGAACUCGGUACGCGCGGAUCUUCCAGAGAUUGUAGUCAUAUGCUUGUCUCAAAGAUUAAGCCAUGCAUGUCUAAGUAUAAGCAAUUAUACAGCGAAACUGCGAAUGGCUCAUUAUAUAAGUUAUCGUUUAUUUGAUAGUACCUUACUACUUGGAUAACCGUGGUAAUUCUAGAGCUAAUACAUGCUAAAAAUCCCGACUUCGGAAGGGAUGUAUUUAUUAGAUUAAAAACCAAUGCCCUCUGGGCUCUCUGGUGAUUCAUGAUAACUUCUCGAAUCGCAUGGCCUUGUGCCGGCGAUGGUUCAUUCAAAUUUCUUCCCUAUCAACUUUCGAUGUUUGGGUAGUGGCCAAACAUGGUUGCAACGGGUGACGGAGGGUUAGGGCUCGACCCCGGAGAAGGAGCCUGAGAAACGGCUACUACAUCCAAGGAAGGCAGCAGGCGCGCAAAUUACCCAAUCCCGACACGGGGAGGUAGUGACAAUAAAUACUGAUACAGGGCUCUUUUGGGUCUUGUAAUUGGAAUGAGUACAAUUUAAAUCCCUUAACGAGGAACAAUUGGAGGGCAAGUCUGGUGCCAGCAGCCGCGGUAAUUCCAGCUCCAAUAGCGUAUAUUAAAGUUGUUGUGGUUAAAAAGCUCGUAGUUGAACCUUGGGCCUGGCUGGCCGGUCCGCCUCACCGCGUGUACUGGUCCGGCCGGGCCUUUCCCUCUGUGGAACCCCAUGCCCUUCACUGGGUGUGGCGGGGAAACAGGACUUUUACUUUGAAAAAGUUAGAGUGCUCCAGGCAGGCCUAUGCUCGAAUACAUUAGCAUGGAAUAAUAGAAUAGGACGUGUGGUUCUAUUUUGUUGGUUUCUAGGACCGCCGUAAUGAUUAAUAGGGACAGUCGGGGGCAUCAGUAUUCAAUUGUCGGAGGUGAAAUUCUUGGAUUUAUUGAAGACUAACUACUGCGAAAGCAUUUGCCAAGGAUGUUUUCAUUAAUCAGGAACGAAAGUUAGGGGAUCGAAGACGAUCAGAUACCGUCGUAGUCUUAACCAUAAACUAUGCCGACUAGGGAUCGGACGAUGUUACUUAUUGACUCGUUCGGCACCUUACGAGAAAUCAAAGUGCUUGGGCUCCAGGGGGAGUAUGGUCGCAAGGCUGAAACUUAAAGAAAUUGACGGAAGGGCACCACCAGGGGUGGAGCCUGCGGCUUAAUUUGACUCAACACGGGGAAACUCACCAGGUCCAGACACAAUGAGGAUUGACAGAUUGAGAGCUCUUUCUUGAUUUUGUGGGUGGUGGUGCAUGGCCGUUCUUAGUUGGUGGAGUGAUUUGUCUGCUUAAUUGCGAUAACGAACGAGACCUUAACCUGCUAAAUAGCCCGUAUUGCUUUGGCAGUACGCUGGCUUCUUAGAGGGACUAUCGGCUCAAGCCGAUGGAAGUUUGAGGCAAUAACAGGUCUGUGAUGCCCUUAGAUGUUCUGGGCCGCACGCGCGCUACACUGACGGAGCCCAGCGAGUACUCCCUUGGCCGGAAGGUCCGGGUAAUCUUGUUAAACUCCGUCGUGCUGGGGAUAGAGCAUUGCAAUUAUUGCUCUUCAACGAGGAAUCCCUAGUAAGCGCAAGUCAUCAGCUUGCGUUGAUUACGUCCCUGCCCUUUGUACACACCGCCCGUCGCUACUACCGAUUGAAUGGCUCAGUGAGGCGUUCGGACUGGCCCAGAGAGGUGGGAAACUACCACUCAGGGCCGGAAAGUUCUCCAAACUCGGUCAUUUAGAGGAAGUAAAAGUCGUAACAAGGUCUCCGUUGGUGAACCAGCGGAGGGAUCAUUACCGAGUUUACAAACUCCCAAACCCUUUGUGAACCUUACCAUAUUGUUGCUUCGGCGGGACCGCCCCGGCGCCUUCGGGCCCGGAACCAGGCGCCCGCCGGAGGCCCCAAACUCUUAUGUCUUUAGUGGUUUUCUCCUCUGAGUGACACAUAAACAAAUAAAUAAAAACUUUCAACAACGGAUCUCUUGGUUCUGGCAUCGAUGAAGAACGCAGCGAAAUGCGAUAAGUAAUGUGAAUUGCAGAAUUCAGUGAAUCAUCGAAUCUUUGAACGCACAUUGCGCCCGCCAGUAUUCUGGCGGGCAUGCCUGUUCGAGCGUCAUUUCAACCCUCAGGCCCCCAGUGCCUGGUGUUGGGGAUCGGCCCAGCCUUCUCGCAAGGCCGCCGGCCCCGAAAUCUAGUGGCGGUCUCGCUGUAGUCCUCCUCUGCGUAGUAGCACAACCUCGCAGUUGGAACGCGGCGGUGGCCAUGCCGUUAAACACCCCACUUCUGAAAGUUGACCUCGGAUCAGGUAGGAAUACCCGCUGAACUUAAGCAUAUCAAUAAGCGGAGGAAAUCGUCGAACGGCAGGCGUGCAAACUUGGCGUAAU